This is a long non-coding RNA of Chinchilla lanigera (long-tailed chinchilla), 3364 nucleotides long. Ensembl annotates it as ankyrin repeat and LEM domain containing 1. NCBI's taxonomy places the organism in Eukaryota, Metazoa, Chordata, Mammalia, Rodentia, Chinchillidae. The record is from Ensembl.
UCCGGCCGCUGGACCUCGCGGAGCAGCAGGGACACGGGGACUGUGCGCGCGUCCUGCGGGACCUGCGCCCGCCGGGCUGCCCAGCGUGGAGGACGGCGACGGUGACCGCGGGGGCCUGCGGUGAGGGGACUGCGGGGCGGUGCGCGCCCGCUGCCUGUGCCGGCUGGGGCGCUGAGACUCCGAUCAGUCUGUUUUUUCCUAUUCUUCCUUCCUCUUUCCUUCCUUUAUACUGGGGAUGAGUCCAAGCGCCCGCUCCCUGAGCUGUAUCCCCAGCCCCCUUUUCAUUUUGAAACAGUUAAUUAUCAAUUAAUUAUCACUAAUUACCUAAGUUGUACGGGCAGGUCUUGAACUUAGGAUCCUCCUGCCUCAGCCUCCCACCUGCUGGGGCUACAGACCUGCACCAGUAAGCCUGCUGGGACGGCCUUGGAACCCGUGCCCGCUCCCUUGCUGCCUCUCCCCUUGCCACAGCAGCCUCAAUGUCCGACCUGAUUGUGCAUCUGUGCCCCCCCAUCUUCAGGAGCGGGCCUCACGGCCGCGGAGGUGACCCUUGAGCCUGCCGCACGGCCAGCCGGGCCUGAGCGUGGGGACAUGGGCCUGGGCCCCAGCCGGCGGGUUGCCAGCCCCACCGGGCCCCUGGAGGCUGCGGAUGAAGAGGGAGGCUCAGAGUCCCCGCGCCAGGACUGGGACAGCAGCUCCGACGACGACGAUGAAGUUCCCUUUGUCACUGCGGUGGAAGCUUCUGACUCGGAGGACACAGCCCUGGAGAGGAAUUCUGUCGGGGGCCCAUCACUGCCUCAGGCAGAACAGGGACCCAUGCGGGUGGCCCUGAGGCCUACAGGCCAGCCAGGGCCAUCAGGCAAGGAGGCUGAGCUCGGCGCCCGGCUGUGGGCCAUGACUCUGUCCCCGUCCUGGGCUACCUUCUUCCCUCCCCUCGUGGACCCAAGCACAGCCCACAGCAACCCCCAGAAGCCUGGCCUCUGCCCCCAGGCAGAUGAGCAGCGGCCCUUUGGCGGUGACAUGGCUGCCCUUUGGCUGACAGAGGACGAGGCCAGCGCCGCAGAGGACAGGGAACAUGUCCCCACUUGCAAGCUCCCGCCGGUGCCCACCGCUCCUGGCCUACAGCUGCGGCACAGGCUCCCGGCGCCUGGGCACCGUCGCUGCCCCACUGUUCCCUUCAGCCAGCCGCCCUGUGGCCCCCAACGGCAGGGAGAGGGCUGGGCCACGCCCGGUGAGUCCUUCUUGGGCUUGGAGUCCCCAGGCCCAGCGCUCAGGCCCCUCUCGCCAGCUGCCCGACUCACCCUCGCUCCAGUUCCUGACUCGGUUUCCCCUCCCGGCCCAGACUUUGCAAAGUACAGCCCAGAACUCGCCGAGGCCCUGCGGACGGGCUGCAUCCCGGACUCCCAGGCGGACGAGGACGCGCUGGCCCAGCAGUUCGAGCGGCCGGAUCCCUCGGAGAGGUGGCGGGAGGGCGUUGCCAAGUCCAGCUUCACGUAUCUGCUGCUGGACCCCAGGGAGACUCAGGACCUGCCCGCCCGAGCCUCCUCGCUGACCCCGGCCCAGUGUCUUCAGACCUUCGUCCACGCCAUCUUCUACGUGGGCAAGGGGACACGCACCCGGCCAGACGUCCACCUCUGGGAGGCCCUUGGCUACCGUGGGCGGCCAGGAAGACAGGCCUGCCCCAAGGUGCGCCGCAUCCUGGACAUCUGGGACAGUGGCCAUGGCGUGGUCUCCCUGCACUGCUUCCAGCAUGUGGUGGCUGUGGAGGCUUACACGCGGGAGGCCUGCCUUGUGGACGCCCUAGGAGUCCAGACGCUGACCAACCAGAAGCAAGGGCACUACUAUGGCGUGGUGGUGAACUGGCCCGCAGCUCGGCGGCGGCGCUUGGGGGUGCACCUGCUGCACCGUGCGCUGCUCAUCUUCCUGGCCGAGGGUGAGCGGGAGCUGCGGCCUGAGGACAUCCAGGCGCGAGGCUGAGCGCUGGAGUGGCCGUCCAGCCUGGACAGAUGUCAUGGUGUCUGCUCUCCCUGUGCUGAGAGCAAACCCCUCAGUGGCUGCAGAUGGCAGGCUCCAUGUACGUGUGUGUGUGUGUGUGUGUGUGUGUGUGUGCGCAUGUGUGUCAGCAGCCCCUGGGUAGAUCCCUUUCUGUCUCAGGGAGGCUCUGUGAACACAGUAACUGCUGGAGAGGGAGUGAACUCCCCAUCAUGGGAGGAAACCAAGGGGCAAACCAAAAGGUGCUUCGGAAUACUUUGGUGCUUUGGCAGUCUUUGGGGGUUGUCUUUCUUUUUCUGAGAUUGGGUCUUCCUAUGUACCCCAGGCUGGCCUUGAACUCACUUCGGCCCUCCUGCCUCAGCCUCUUGAGUAGUGGUAUUAUGGACCUACACCUCCAUGCCUGGCUUUUUGUGGACUGUUGUAGUCACCUUCCCCUGCUGGGACCAAAUACUUGGCACCCACAGCUAGAAGGAAGAGAGGUCUAUUUCGAUUCACGGGUUCAGUCCACGGCCAGCUGGCUCCAAGGCCGAAGCAGCACGGUGGGCGGGCCUGGCGGAGGACACUGCUCACCUCGCGGUGGUCAGGAGUCAGGAAGAGAGGGGAGGAGCCGGGGACAAGGAUGUGCCUUCCCGGUCACAUCCCAGUGGCCGCCUCCAGCCAGGCCCCGCCUCCUACAGCACUGUCAGCUGUGGACUCAUCCCUGGAGGAGCAGGGAGAUGAGCACUGCGCCCCACCAUCCCAUCCCCUGCCACACAGGCUUCUGGAGGACAGCUUAGCUCAUACCCGCAAUAUGGUCCGAGUCCCCUUUUUUUUUGAGGCUCUGAGCUAUGUAGCUCAGGCUGCCCUUGAUUCUCCUGCCUCAGCCUCCAAGCACUGGGAUUAUAGGAUUAUACUAACAUACCUGGCUCCAUCCACUUUUAUGUCCCAGACACAGGGUACCCACAGAUGGGCUGGCCAGGGUUUCUUUUGCUCCCCAUGGGGGGGCUCUGCCCUUCUCAGAGCCAGGCUCACUCCCUCGGGCUGAGGGGCCCUGCGCUAGUACUGUGUCUGCCUGGGCCUCAGUAUGUGCCACGGAUGGAGCUUCCUCCUGCUGGGAAUUCCCACAGGCAGCUGCAGGGGACUGGCUGGGCUCUGCACAGCGCUGCAGUAGUGGUGCAGGCCUGCUCUCUCGGCCCUGGGAGGCUGAGGCAGGAGGUUUGGGCAACCUAGUGACUUAGUGACAGCUUGUCUCAAAAUAAAAGAAUACAAAAAGGGCUGGGGACAUGGCUUAGUGCUGAGGGGUUGGUUUAGAUCUGUAGUACCAAGAAAAAAGAAGGGAGGAAGGACAGCUCGGGGAGUGGGCCGGGGCUGCACCACUUAGCACCAACUGGAGAAC